This 278-nucleotide ribosomal RNA is filed under the name uncultured Christensenellaceae bacterium. Its description in RNAcentral is "partial 16S ribosomal RNA". It matches the Rfam family "Bacterial small subunit ribosomal RNA", at positions 511 to 788 of the family's 1533-position model. The record is from RNAcentral. Lineage: Bacteria; Bacillati; Bacillota; Clostridia; Christensenellales; Christensenellaceae.
GCAGCCGCGGUAAUACGUAGGGGGCAAGCGUUGUCCGGAAUGACUGGGCGUAAAGGGCGUGUAGGCGGCUUUUUAAGUGUGAAGUGAAAGUCCUGCUUUCAAGGUGGGAAUUGCUUUGCAAACUGGAGAGCUUGAGUGCGGAAGAGGUAAGUGGAAUUCCCAGUGUAGCGGUGAAAUGCGUAGAGAUUGGGAGGAACACCAGUGGCGAAGGCGACUUACUGGGCCGCAACUGACGCUGAGGCGCGAAAGCGUGGGGAGCGAACAGGAUUAGAUACCCC